AGGACGAACGCUGGCGGCGUGCUUAACACAUGCAAGUCGAGCGGAAAGGCCCUUUCGGGGGGUACUCGAGCGGCGAACGGGUGAGUAACACGUGAGUAAUCUGCCCUGCGCUCUGGGAUAGCCACCGGAAACGGUGAUUAAUACCGGAUAUGACCUGUCCCUGCAUGGGGGUGGGUGGAAAGUUUUUUCGGCGUGGGAUGUGCUCGCGGCCUAUCAGCUUGUUGGUGAGGUAAUGGCUCACCAAGGCUUUGGCGGGUAGCCGGCCUGAGAGGGUGACCGGUCACACUGGGACUGAGACACGGCCCAGACUCCUACGGGAGGCAGCAGUGGGGAAUAGUUGGACAAGUGGGCGGAAGCCUGAUCCAGCAACGCCGCGUGAGGAUGAAGGCCUUCGGGUUGUAAACCUCUUUCAGUACCGACGAAGCGAGAGUGACGGUAGGACAGAAGAAGGACCGCCAACUACGUGCCAGCAGCCGC
RNAcentral lists this ribosomal RNA (477 nucleotides) under uncultured soil bacterium. Its description in RNAcentral is "bacterial SSU rRNA". It matches the Rfam family "Bacterial small subunit ribosomal RNA", at positions 26 to 518 of the family's 1533-position model. The record is from RNAcentral.